Callithrix jacchus (white-tufted-ear marmoset) is the source of this 299-nucleotide unclassified non-coding RNA. It matches the Rfam family "Metazoan signal recognition particle RNA". From Rfam's summary of the family: The signal recognition particle (SRP) is a universally conserved ribonucleoprotein. It is involved in the co-translational targeting of proteins to membranes. The record is from Ensembl. Lineage: Eukaryota; Metazoa; Chordata; Mammalia; Primates; Cebidae.
GCCAGGCGCAGUGGCGAGUGCCUGUAGUCCCAGCUGCUUAGGAGGCUGAGGUGGGAGGAUUGCUUGAGCCCAGGAGUUCUGGGCUAUAGUGCGCUUUGCCAAUCAGGUGUCCGCACUAAGCUCGGCAUCAAUAAUGGUCCUCCCAGGAGCAGGGGACCACCAGGUUGCCUAAGGAGGGGUGAACUUGCCCAGGUCAGAAACAGAGCAGGUCAAAACUUCAGUGCUGAUCAGUAGUGGGAUCUCGCCUGUGAAUAGCCACUGCAUUGCAGCCUGGGGAACAUAGUGAGAUCCCGUCUCUG